GGUUGCCACGGACCUUCAAGAGGUAAACGGAACUAUUGUUUUGAAAAAUGCAAAGCUCAAAAUGGUGGAACUAUUGAAUCACACAUUUACUCUUGGUUUUGGGUGAGGACGUCUUCCCACAAGAAAUUUUGGACCAAAUGCAUUGAUUACAAAAUGAAGGAAAACGACACUUUUGUGUGGUAUAAGUUAAUCGGAAACAGUGAAUCGCCGAUCGAGGGUCGGUGCGAUAGAACAGGAAAAGCACUCUUGUACGGUGGGAUGCUGGUUAUUCCAGAUAAUACGACGGCAGCAAAAACUCCUUUAAUCGAUGGUAUGAUUGUGUACCGUCAGGACACG
Dendronephthya gigantea is the source of this 336-nucleotide long non-coding RNA. RefSeq lists it as uncharacterized. NCBI's taxonomy places the organism in Eukaryota, Metazoa, Cnidaria, Anthozoa, Malacalcyonacea, Nephtheidae. The transcript has 3 exons. The record is from RefSeq and is a predicted model, not a curated record.